RNAcentral lists this ribosomal RNA (433 nucleotides) under uncultured bacterium. RNAcentral's name for it is "partial 16S ribosomal RNA". It matches the Rfam family "Bacterial small subunit ribosomal RNA", at positions 29 to 507 of the family's 1533-position model. The record is from RNAcentral.
AACGAACGCUGGCGGCAUGCCUAACACAUGCAAGUCGAACGAGACCUUCGGGUCUAGUGGCGCACGGGUGCGUAACGCGUGGGAACCUGCCCUUAGGUUCGGAAUAACUCCCCGAAAGGGGUGCUAAUACCGGAUAAUGUCUUCGGACCAAAGAUUUAUCGCCUUUGGAUGGGCCCGCGUUGGAUUAGCUAGUUGGUAGGGUAAAAGCCUACCAAGGCGACGAUCCAUAGCUGGUCUGAGAGGAUGAUCAGCCACACUGGGACUGAGACACGGCCCAGACUCCUACGGGAGGCAGGAGUGGGGAAUAUUGGACAAUGGGCGAAAGCAUGAUCCAGCAAUGCCGCGUGAGUGAUGAAGGCCUUAGGGUUGUAAAGCUCUUUUACCCGGGAUGAUAAUGACAGUACCGGGAGAAUAAGCUCCGGCUAACUCCGUG